CCUACGGGAGGCAGCAGUGGGGAAUAUUGGACAAUGGGGGCAACCCUGAUCCAGCCAUGCCGCGUGUGUGAAGAAGGCUUUCGGGUUGUAAAGCACUUUCAGUGAGGAGGAAGGCUUAAAGGUUAAUACCCUUUAGGAUUGACGUUACUCACAGAAGAAGCACCGGCUAACUCCGUGCCAGCAGCCGCGGUAAUACGGAGGGUGCAAGCGUUAAUCGGAAUUACUGGGCGUAAAGCGCGCGUAGGUGGUUUGGUAAGCGAGAUGUGAAAGCCCCGGGCUUAACCUGGGAACGGCAUUUCGAACUGUCAGGCUAGAGUGUGGUAGAGGGUAGUGGAAUUUCCUGUGUAGCGGUGAAAUGCGUAGAUAUAGGAAGGAACACCAGUGGCGAAGGCGGCUACCUGGACCAACACUGACACUGAGGUGCGAAAGCGUGGGGAGCA
Molecule: ribosomal RNA, 440 nt
Filed under: uncultured bacterium
Lineage: Bacteria
Description: bacterial SSU rRNA
Rfam family: Bacterial small subunit ribosomal RNA
Source: RNAcentral